CCGCGGCGCCCAGCCCGAGGCCUGGCGCAGAGCAGCGGGAGGCGGCGCAGGCCGCGGCGGGGCCUGCAGCAGCCCGCCGACCCCGCGAGGCGCCGAAGCAGACUCCGGGGCGGCCUAGCCUCAGGCUCGGCAGCUGGGCACGACCGGGGGCUGCCCCUCGGCCUCUUACCUGGGGGGAAGACAGCCGGGAUCCCGGGGGCCCGGGCCGGACCGCGGAGAUGCCCCAAACUGACACGGCCGCCAUCUUGGAGACAAAGUAUUUAAGAAACAACAAGUGAGAGGUGAUCAGUUCCUGGGGUUAUCCAGCACUUCCAAGUCCCCAUGAAUGUGCUCCCGACAGCGUGAGAAAGUUGACGGCCUUGGGUCUCCUAGUCCAACAGUAAUUGGACAUUCCACUACCUGAGGACCCAGCUAUACCUGUCU
Molecule: long non-coding RNA, 423 nt
Filed under: Rattus norvegicus (Norway rat)
Lineage: Eukaryota; Metazoa; Chordata; Mammalia; Rodentia; Muridae
Description: long non-coding RNA NONRATT011621
Source: RNAcentral